CGUUGGCUGCGUGGGGCGCCGGCAGGGUCACCCGAACAGGGCUCCUGCGCUUGCGCUCCUGUGGGAGGUGCGAGCGGGUGGGCGUGUGCGAGGCGUGGUCGGAGGGGGGAGGGCCCGGCUAGCCGUCGCUCCUCCCCCUCUUGCCCCUCCUGGGCCGUGUGGGCCGGGCAGCCAUUUUGGGAAGAGCUUUGUUAUGGUUGUGGGCUCUCCACCUUUGCGGGAUCAGGAAGCUGGGGACGCGCCCUCAGACGCCGCGUAUGCUCCCUAUCUGUAGCCCCGCUACUGCCGGUGAUAGAUUCCUGUGGCCUUUAAAUGAUUGAAAAAUGAUGGAAAUGGAUCCAAAAUAAAAAGUGACUACUCUACUGAAGCAGUAGAAGAUUCUUCAUAGUACCCUCCAGCUCAGUUCAGUCUUCAGGAGAGGCAGAACAAGUGAAAUACAGCAAACUGAAGAGAGAAAAACCUCAGCGUUGGAACUGUUUUACUCCUUAACUACUCCUUAACUUCUUUCCUUCUGCUUGUUUUAAUUUUGCUGUGAAUUUAUAAAUAGUGAAGACCAAAGAAAUAGAAGAUACAUUUGGGAGCUUUAUAUAACAAAGAAAUUUGCCUUGAGAGCUGCUAUUCUUUAGAGGGAAACAUAUAUCAAGUUCUUGUCUGAUUAAAAACAAACAAGAUUUCUUAUGCCCUUAGAUUUUGAAUAUUAAAACAGAUAUAAAUAUCUGCAUACUUUUUAGCAGCUGUGUAGGAAUAAUGAGAUUUGUAAAUUAAGGACUUUGUCAUGUGGAUGUUUUGCCUUUAGAAUUGAUUGUUCAGAAGAUCUUUUAUAACUCUUUAAUGUUAUAUUUUUGACUAUUGCUUUGAUGGCAUUAUUUGCCCACACAUGAGUUAACCUGUCUUUCUAGCUAUGACCUUGUUAUGAACAGUGUUUGCACUCAAUGUGCAGAUGUCCAUGUAUUAUCUAUUUAAACAACAUCAUAGUGCCGUCACUCAAGGAAGUUGAAUGAGGUGAACGUAGACACAGCUCUUUCCCCUUCCCCCCAUUUUUUAAAUGUAACAAAUACUUUUUAUGUUCCCCUUCCCCCUUCCCCUUUCCCUUUCCCCUUUUUGGAAACGUGUCAGGAAUUAGAUAGUUAAAGAUGAGCAAUUGAGGGGACUGAGAGCGAUCCACACAGAGUCUGGCUUCCUUGUGCUUUAUCACAAGGCGUGCUGCUGGCCAGCCUAUUUAAGCACCCUUUUAACAAGACAACCUCGUGGGAAAUCCAGCUGACAGACUCAAGGAGUUUGGGAAACAGGACCACAGAGGUUACACUCUGGGGUAAAUAUUCUCCUAUAUCUAACUUUGGAAGAAGACUGUGUAUGUAUCUGUAUCAUGGAAAAUACAUACUGUUUUCUGGUGUAUUUAAUUUUGGAGAUCUUUAGUGGGAUGGUUUAGAGACACCAAUGGAUCUCUUAGGAAACCUGAUGCUAGUGGGUGUUGGAGGAAAUUAAUGUGAACUAAAUAGAAUAACUUUUUUUGUUGUUUAAUGUUUAUUUUUGAGAGAGAGAGCGUGAGUUGGGGAGGGGCACAGAGAGAGGGAGACACAGAAUCUGAAGCAGGCUCCAGGCUCUGAGCUGUCUGCACAGAGCCUGACACGGGGCUCGAACUCACAAGCUGUGAGGUCAUGACCUGAGCCGAAGUUGGACACUUAACCAACUGAGCCACCCAGGCACCCCAAGAAUGACUCUUUGAGAGAUUGCAUCUUCCUUCUCUAGGAAGGUCUUUUCUACUGCUUUUUCACAAUUUGCCUGAGUACCUGAAGCAGGUUAAUCUUUUCAUAAGAAUCAGUAGUUUUAAGUAGGUGUUUAUUCUUUUUGGUUUUUUCAAACCUUUCGCUAUUUGUUUUUAAAAUGUUUAUUUUUUGAGAGCAAGGAAUCCCAAGCUGGCUCCACACUGUCAGUGCAGAGCCCGAUGCAGGGCUCAAACUCAUAAACCGUGAGAUCAUGACCUGAGCCAAAACCAAGAAUCAGAUGCUUAACUGACUGAGCCACCCAGGCACCCCAGGUGUUUAUUCUUAAGGUUCUUCUCAUAAAACUCAAGAAUUCAUAACCUUCCAGGUUUAUGUCACCUUUUUCUGUUCAUGUGUUUUUCAUACUCAUAUAUUCAUGGACUGCUGCUCCUGUUUAGAAUUUUGAAGUAUGUCUGAUAAGUAGUCUUAGAGAGGCUCAGAGGGUAGGUCUUUUUAUAAAGAGAGGAUCUUAGAGUAAUCAGAUUCUUUUGUACAUUGGUAUCCAGGUCUUGCAAGCAUAAGUGAU
This 2289-nucleotide long non-coding RNA is filed under the name Lynx canadensis (Canada lynx). RNAcentral's name for it is "lncRNA (ENSLCNG00005009008.1)". Lineage: Eukaryota; Metazoa; Chordata; Mammalia; Carnivora; Felidae. The record is from RNAcentral.